GGGGUUUUUUGUUUGGGUUUUUUUUGUGGUUUUUUUUUCUUUAUGCUUUUGAUGAUUAGCAACUUUGAAACAUGAUACAAGUAACAUUUUCUUCUACUGGCAUUUAAUCCGUUUUGAGGUGCCCCUUUUUUUAUCUUUCUUUGUCCCAGUUAUGUUCUAAAAUAGCUUUUCAACCAGGAAAUUCUUCUCUAGGAGUUUUCUUGCAAACGGGCAUGCAUCAAAGCCAGAAGCUGUAAAAAUUGUCUGCACAAUCUUUCUCAUUUGGAUUGGAAAUAUCACUCUUUUCAGAAUCUGACAUCUAUGGCAAAGCGAAGAGAAUGAUCUUUAAAAUGAUAAAGAUCUAAAGAAGAAAUUGAAAAAAAAAAGUUCCAUGUAUUCCAAGUGAACUCUAAAUCUCUGAACCUCUUUUCUGAACACUGGGGCUGAAAGAGGGGCCUAUUUUGAAGAACCAAAAUGGUUAGGCAUAUUCAAAAACUGCACAUCAGUGCCAUCCCAGGAAAUGAAAAAGAAAAAUCCAACAGGAUAUAAUCAUAAGGCACAUAUCAGUGCUGUCAAAAGGAACUGCCUUCAAUGUCACAAGAGAAGAUGGUGAAGCCUGAUGAUCAGUGAUGAGACAGAAUAGCUGGUAGCUAGAUGAGGAAAACACAGCAAAAGAAAAGUCAGACAGAAAAAGAGGGAGAGGCUUAAUGAAAGUAUGAAAUGUAAAGGAUGAACAUUUUGGCAAGUCAGGGAGCUGAAGUAGGGCAUCAGGGCAAAGGAAGUAAAAGUGAUCAAAUGGAUCAUUUAACAAAGAAGCCAAAGAAAAGUGCAGGUUGCUGAGGAAACACAACUGAGGCUGAAAUUUGAGAGGAAAGCUGAAAUGUAGUGAGGUGAUUGGCAGUGAUAGGACAUGACAGCAGCUGUAAAGAAGACAGGGGACUUCCUGCAAGUGCUGAAAAUGAAAGGAGAAUUGAAAGGAUUUAAAGGGAAUGAUGAGGAGUACCCAGUACACCCAGCACCCCUGAUCUGGUCUACAGUAAGUAGGUGAAAUGAAAAGAUAAAAUAUUUCAGGUUUCCAUAAAUCAGAAGGUUGUAUGUCAGUAAAAGUGCUGUGAAUGGCUGUAUUUUUGUUCCAUUUUAUUUUAUUUUGUUCUAAGGAUGGAGGAAAUGUCCAGAGAAAGGAAAAGGAUAGCAAUAGAAAUGGCCAUAGAAGUGACAAAGCAGCCCAUGAGUGGUGAAGGUUUUGAGGAGGAUAGAUAAGCGUGAUGGGAAUAACAGGCAUUCCGGAUGGCACUUUUUAAAGAAUAUAUCACAGAGCUGAUUGAAAAAAUAUGAAUGUGGGAAUCUGGAUUGGUACUAGUUUGAAAAUGAGAACAACACUGAAAAAAUGGCGUAUCUUGAGUCUGUAGAUAGAUAAAGGUGCUGGGUAUAGUAUUACAGUGUGAGAAGUUUAUAUGGUGUAUUUAUUCUGAACAUGAAGGUGAAUAAGGUGAAAGAUGUACAAAAGUACUGUGGAAUAGGCAGGCAUUACUGCAGCAUCUGUGAGCCGUCAAAAGCUUUCAUGGAAAACAAAUCACUGACAGUUUAUUUCUUUUCAUGCUUCUGAAAUUGUUUUUUUUCUGGAUCUCACCCACUGUGCUCACAGAAGCAAAAGUAAUUGGUAAUCCAACAAUUGGGAAUGCAUGAAAGUUCUCUGAAGAGAACUUGCAAAAUCAGUUGUAAUGUUGAAUGAGGAUGUCUUAAUUGUAUGUCAGUUGAAUGAGGAUGCUGGAUUCUAAAGCUGUUCUGACUGACAUAAUUGUCAAGGUUAAAAACCUUCUUGUCUAUGUGAUUUCUUUGCACUGAAGAGGUACUGAAGCAGCUUAUAUUAUUGGGUAGGCUUUUAGGUGUGUCCUUUAGUGAAAAUUAAAAGCUUUCCAUCUCAGUUUGAUCAACUUCCACACAUUUUAUAUGUGCUCAGCAAUUCACAGUGUGCCAACACUUUACUCUGUAACUGGAAGAUGGAUGUUUCCACUAAAAUGUUACAUUUAAAUACUGGAAGUACAAAGCUCAUAUUUUUAACUGAACAGUCAGGAUUACAGAUUAUCAUCACUUUUCAGAAAGAUGGGCACAUUGUUAAAAAUAACUAUAUGAAAUUGUCUCUGGUCUGAUUUGCUGUAGCAGGUGGGCUAGAUAAACUCUACAGAGCCUUUCCAGCCAAGUUGUGCUCCUGUGGUUCUUAGGUAUCACUGUGAAAGAACACUUUGAUUUGUAUGUGCAGAAUAAUCUGGUGACCCUUGAAUAUAUCUUAAUGAAACUUGAUAUUCAGAGAAAAACUUUAGCUGAUAUAUGUUAGAGGAUGUAAUUCUUAUUCUGGACUUCAGUUUCAUGUACAAAGUUCUUUUUUUGUAUCAAAGAUGCAAUCGUUAUGUUUACCCAGCAUAAAACUCCCUGUAUGGCAAAUCAUUUUGUUUUCUAUUGAAUAAGUGCUGGAUUCUGGAUCUAAAUGUCAUUUAGUUAAUAAUGUAUUGUUACUCCUGUAAAAUAGCAUUUUAUCUUUAAAUCUUAACUGAAUAAAGUGCAUACUUGGUUGUGGAUACAUCACUGUAGGAUCACAACACUGUUUUCUGCAGACAUUUCUGUCAUCUAUAAAUAGAGGACCAUUACAUCACACUACUUUUUCUGGUUGUCACUUAUUCCUAUAAGAGAACGGCAAAAGGACAAAAGCCAGCUCUCAAGGUGUUGAAGAACUGUAGUACAGGGAUUGAGCUCCAUCUUGUGGAAUAAAGAGAAGCCUACAUUCUUUUUUCCCCUUCAGAGAAAUGAUUGUAAAAGGCAUAAUUUAAUAAAUUUCCUUUUGAAAG
Taeniopygia guttata (zebra finch) is the source of this 2822-nucleotide non-coding RNA. The record is from RefSeq and is a predicted model, not a curated record. NCBI's taxonomy places the organism in Eukaryota, Metazoa, Chordata, Aves, Passeriformes, Estrildidae.